ACGGCUCAGUAACACGUGGAUAAUCUGCCCUAAGGUCUGGCAUAACUCCGGGAAACUGGUGAUAAUUCCAGAUAUGCCAUAGAAACUGGAAUGUUCUGUGGUCAAAAGCUCCGGCGCCUUAGGAUGAAUCUGCGGCCUAUCAGGUUGUAGUGGGUGUAGUGUACCUACUAGCCGACGACGGGUACGGGUUGUGAGAGCAAGAGCCCGGAGAUGGAUUCUGAGACAUGAAUCCAGGCCCUACGGGGCGCAGCAGGCGCGGAAACUUUACAAUGCGGGAAACCGCGAUAAGGGGAUACUGAGUGCCAGCAUCUUAUGUUGGCUGUCCGCAUGUAUAAAUAGCAUGUGUUAGCAAGGGCCGGGCAAGACCGGUGCCAGCCGCCGCGGUAACACCGGCGGCCCGAGUGGUGGCCACUAUUAUUGGGUCUAAAGGGUCCGUAGCCGGUUCGAUCAGUCUUCCGGGAAAUCUGACAGCUCAACUGUUAGGCUUCCGGGGGAUACUGUCGGACUUGGGACCGGGAGAGGUAAGAGGUACUACAGGGGUAGGAGUGAAAUCUUGUAAUCCUUGUGGGACCACCAGUGGCGAAGGCGUCUUACCAGAACGGGUCCGACGGUGAGGGACGAAAGCUGGGGGCACGAACCGGAUUAGAUACCCGGGUAGUCCCAGCCGUAAACGAUGCUCGCUAGGUGUCUGGGACGGUGCGACCGUUUCAGGUGCCGCAGGGAAGCCGUGAAGCGAGCCACCUGGGAAGUACGGCCGCAAGGCUGAAACUUAAAGGAAUUGGCGGGGGAGCACUACAACGGGUGGAGCCUGCGGUUUAAUUGGACUCAACGCCGGAAAACUCACCUGGGGCGACAGCAAUAUGUAGGUCAGGCUGAAGGUCUUACCUGAAUCGCUGAGAGGAGGUGCAUGGCC
RNAcentral lists this ribosomal RNA (913 nucleotides) under SRB archaeon enrichment culture clone Sra_0tu2_11. RNAcentral's name for it is "bacterial SSU rRNA". It matches the Rfam family "Archaeal small subunit ribosomal RNA", at positions 85 to 999 of the family's 1478-position model. The record is from RNAcentral.